RNAcentral lists this ribosomal RNA (800 nucleotides) under uncultured bacterium. RNAcentral describes it as "bacterial SSU rRNA". It matches the Rfam family "Bacterial small subunit ribosomal RNA", at positions 8 to 808 of the family's 1533-position model. The record is from RNAcentral.
AGAGUUUGAUCAUGGCUCAGGAUGAACGCUGGCGGCGUGCUUAACACAUGCAAGUCGAACGGAACUCUUUGAAUCGAGGCUUCGGCCAAGUGAAUCUGAGUUUAGUGGCGGACGGGUGAGUAACGCGUGAGGAACCUGCCUUUCAGAGGGGAAUAACAGUUGGAAACGACUGCUAAUACCGCAUAAUGCAUAGAGACCGCAUGAUCUUUAUGCCAAAGAUUUUAUCGCUGAGAGAUGGCCUCGCGUCUGAUUAGCUAGUUGGCGGGGUAACGGCCCACCAAGGCGACGAUCAGUAGCCGGACUGAGAGGUUGGCCGGCCACAUUGGGACUGAGAUACGGCCCAGACUCCUACGGGAGGCAGCAGUGGGGAAUAUUGGGCAAUGGGCGCAAGCCUGACCCAGCAACGCCGCGUGAAGGAAGAAGGUCUUCGGAUUGUAAACUUCUUUUAACAGGGACGAUAAUGACGGUACCUGUUGAAUAAGCUCCGGCUAACUACGUGCCAGCAGCCGCGGUAAUACGUAGGGAGCGAGCGUUAUCCGGAUUUACUGGGUGUAAAGGGCGUGUAGGCGGGACUGCAAGUCAGAUGUGAAAACUCCGGGCUCAACUCGGAGCCUGCAUUUGAAACUGUAGUUCUUGAGUGAUGGAGAGGCAAGCGGAAUUCCUAGUGUAGCGGUGAAAUGCGUAGAUAUUAGGAGGAACACCAGUGGCGAAGGCGGCUUGCUGGACAUUAACUGACGCUAAGGCGCGAAAGCGUGGGGAGCAAACAGGAUUAGAUACCCUGGUAGUCCACGCCGUAAACG